UGGGGAAUAUUGGACAAUGGGGGCAACCCUGAUCCAGCCAUGCCGCGUGAAUGAUGAAGGUCUUUGGAUUGUAAAAUUCUUUCGCUAGGGAAGAUAAUGACGGUACCUAGUAAAGAAGCUCCGGCUAACUCCGUGCCAGCAGGCGCGGUAUACGGUGGGGGCUAGCGUUGUUCGGAAUUACUGGCCGUCAAGCGCGCGUAGGCGGAUUGUUAAGUUAGGGGUGAAAUCCCGGGGCCCAACCCCGGAACUGCCCUUGAUACUCGCAGUCUUGAGGACGGAAGAGGCAAGUGGAAUUCCGAGUGUAGAGGUGAAAUUCGUAGAUAUUCGGAGGAACACCAGUGGCGAAGGCGACUUGCUUGUCCGUUUCUGACGCUGAGGCGCGAAAGCGUGGGGAGCAAACAGGAUUAGAUACCCGUGUAGUCC
This 423-nucleotide ribosomal RNA is filed under the name uncultured prokaryote. RNAcentral's name for it is "partial 16S ribosomal RNA". It matches the Rfam family "Bacterial small subunit ribosomal RNA", at positions 355 to 796 of the family's 1533-position model. The record is from RNAcentral.